UCCUAUAUACAGCUACCUAAAACAGAAGUUGGCACAUCUUCAUUAGAAGGUAUGCUCACUAGCUUGAUUUCUCCUAGAGAUGUAGAAUGUUUAUUCCCGCAAUGUUAUUUUGCAAUUUCCUUUUUUGAUGUAGCUGCUUAUCUAUCAAGUUUAUUUAGCAGAGUGUCUAUGAAAGUGUGCAGUUCAAAUAAUCGGGUUAUGUUAUACUAAGUAUCCUAUAAAUGAUCUGAAUGAACACAAGCGAUGGCGUCCGUCGGCCACGGUGCCCAAGGCGUAGACUGGACCCUUCUAAGGAGGCAUGUGGGGAUGCAUGCAAGACAUGCCCUCAUUCUAUGAAACAAAGUCAAAAGCAAAUGGGAGUAUGAGAGAUGGUGUAUGGACCAAGUGAUGGAGCAUCUCACGGACGGCGGCCCUCACUUCAAGCUCGAUGAGCUUAACUUAAACAUGCUCUUGCACUGGCAUGGUCGUGAUAGGUUUGUCAUCUGGGCGAUUGCCCGUGUUCGAAAGGUUGGUGUGAUUUUUCACUAUAGGAAUUGAUAGCUUGACAGGUUAUUUGGCUUAGCCUAUGUUGUGUUGUUGCUUGUUUGUCUGAUCCCUAUCAUGCUGAUGUUUCAUACCAUGAUAGCUGUUUAUGGUUGUAAUAUUACACCAUUGACAGGUUAAGAAAAGGUGUUUGCUGAUUGAGAAAGUUGAGAGACAACUUACGGACACUAUAACAGUUAGGAAUUUAUUGUUGGGCCAAAAUUAUGUCGUUGUUUAUAUACAUGCAUCAAUUCUUCAUGUAGCUCACUACUUAUUCUGUUAUGAGAAUAACAACUGUAGAUAGAGUCAUUCAUCUUGCUUCUUUUCUAGAUGAAUAACUUCAUUAUGGGUUGUGUCAUCCGAGGCAAGUUGAUACUACCUACUGUAUGCAAAUUCCAGAUGCAUUAGGAGGGGAGUGACGAAGCCGGAGGGGCCGAGGUGCCCUCAUCAUCAUGGGUGCUUGACGGUGCAUCAUAGACCAGGCGGAGGAUCUCCUGGUGGAGCUUGGCAGAACCGAGGCACUUGGAGGAGAAGACGCCAUGGAGCCCUCGCCCGCUGCUGGUAGGCUUUGGCGAGGACGAGCGCCGGGAAAGGUCCCAGAUGUUGCGCCAAGGCCUUCCGCGCCCGCACCCGAGGUAGGUGCUUCACUAACAAGCUGCUACAAGUGUACAAGGCCUUCCACGUUGAAGCUGAGAAGGCAAGAAGAUUUCGUUAUUAAUAGGGACAAAUAGGUGGCUAGCGUAUCCUUUUUGGUUGGCUGAAGCGUUGGAGUGCUAAAGUUCCAGAUAAAAAUCCAUCUUUGGCGCAUUUGUUUUCAGAUUAUUGCUGUUGGAGAUGAGCUAUACAGAGAGAGACACACACACUUAUCUGUACAAAAUCCAUCUUUGGCGCACUUGGGGAAACUUUGUCCAAGGGCAAUUCAUAGAUUGGAAUUUAGAUUUGGGGCAAUUUUGUUUGCCUUGCUUUGUACGGAUGUUGCUAUGCUUUGUGUAUUGUUGUCAUUAUUGUACAGAGAGAAGAUACAGUGAGACAGAUGGAGAGAUAUUGCUAGCUAUUUUUUGUGGAAUUGUUGUGUUCUGUUGGCCAAGAUUAUUCUUUGUUGGUUGCUGAAGCAAAUUGUUGUGAGGGAAAUUGGGCAUAAUUAUCAGCGUGCAACGCUUGAAGGUGUUCGGUGAAGCUUGUGCCACCGGGCAAAAGCUCGCCUUGCUCGACCAGUUGACACUCUGCCAUCAACACAUGAGGAGGACACAAAGUCUGGUGUUUCUUCUGUUGCAACGCAUAGCACGGUGGCAAACUAACGGGAGGGGAAUGGGAGUUUAACUCUAAUUCCCUUUCCCCAUCUCAAUUACCAGCCCUCCUUCAGGAUAUGUGGCACUUCUACACGUGAAUUCCCCU
Molecule: long non-coding RNA, 1917 nt
Filed under: Triticum aestivum (bread wheat)
Lineage: Eukaryota; Viridiplantae; Streptophyta; Magnoliopsida; Poales; Poaceae
Description: long non-coding RNA (TAES_LNC016747)
Source: RNAcentral